Molecule: ribosomal RNA, 384 nt
Filed under: uncultured bacterium
Lineage: Bacteria
Description: bacterial SSU rRNA
Rfam family: Bacterial small subunit ribosomal RNA
Source: RNAcentral
AUUGAACGCUGGCGGCAUGCCUUACACAUGCAAGUCGAACGGCAGCACGGGAGCAAUCCUGGUGGCGAGUGGCGAACGGGUGAGUAAUAUAUCGGAACGUGCCCAGUCGUGGGGAUAACGUAGCGAAAGCUACGCUAAUACCGCAUACGAUCUAUGGAUGAAAGCGGGGGAUCGCAAGACCUCGCGCGAUUGGAGCGGCCGAUAUCAGAUUAGGUAGUUGGUGAGGUAAAGGGCUCGCCAAGCCGACGAUCUGUAGCUGGUCUGAGAGGACGACCAGCCACACUGGGACUGAGACACGGCCCAGACUCCUACGGAGGCAGCAGUGGGGAAUUUUUGGACAAUGGGCGCAAGCCUGAUCCAGCAAUGCCGCGUGCAGGAUGAAGG